Pangasianodon hypophthalmus (striped catfish) is the source of this 115-nucleotide small nuclear RNA. RefSeq annotates it as U5 spliceosomal RNA. Lineage: Eukaryota; Metazoa; Chordata; Actinopteri; Siluriformes; Pangasiidae. The transcript has a single exon. The record is from RefSeq and is a predicted model, not a curated record.
UAGCUCAGGUUUCUAUUCAUUCACAAAUAUAUCUUUUGCUUUUUACUAAAGGGUUCCGUGGAGUGGAAUGUUGAUGAGUUCAACUUAUUUUUGUGGGCUUUGCUGUUGCCAAGCU